GACGUAGGAUGCGAGCGUUGUCCGGAUUUAUUGGGCGUAAAGAGUUCGUAGGUGGUUUGUUAAGUCUGAUGUUAAAGAUCGGGGCUCAACCCCGGGAGUGCAUUGGAUACUGGCAGACUCGAGUAUGGUAGAGGUAAGUGGAAUUCCCAGUGUAGCGGUGAAAUGCGUAGAUAUUGGGAAGAACACCGGUGGCGUAAGCGACUUACUGGGCCAUCACUGACACUGAGGAACGAAAGCUAAGGGAGCGAAUGGG
This 253-nucleotide ribosomal RNA is filed under the name uncultured cyanobacterium. RNAcentral describes it as "partial 16S ribosomal RNA". It matches the Rfam family "Bacterial small subunit ribosomal RNA", at positions 524 to 776 of the family's 1533-position model. Lineage: Bacteria; Bacillati; Cyanobacteriota. The record is from RNAcentral.